RNAcentral lists this unclassified non-coding RNA (255 nucleotides) under Ascomycota sp. RNAcentral's name for it is "partial contains 5.8S ribosomal RNA, internal transcribed spacer 2, and large subunit ribosomal RNA". The record is from RNAcentral. Lineage: Eukaryota; Fungi; Ascomycota.
CGCACAUUGCGCCCUUUGGUAUUCCUUAGGGCAUGCCUGUUCGAGCGUCAUUUCAACCCUCAAGCCUAGCUUGGUGUUGGGCGUCUGUCCCGCCUCCGCGCGCCUGGACUCGCCUCAAAAGCAUUGGCGGCCGGUUCCCAGCAGGCCACGAGCGCAGCAGAGCAAGCGCUGAAGUGGCUGCGGGUCGGCGCACCAUGAGCCCCCCCACACCAGAAUUUUGACCUCGGAUCAGGUAGGGAUACCCGCUGAACUUAA